GGAGGGUCCGAGCGUUAAUCGGAAUUACUGGGCGUAAAGCGUGCGCAGGCGGUUUGUUAAGCGAGAUGUGAAAGCCCUGGGCUCAACCUAGGAAUAGCAUUUCGAACUGGCGAACUAGAGUCUUGUAGAGGGGGGUAGAAUUCCAGGUGUAGCGGUGAAAUGCGUAGAGAUCUGGAGGAAUACCGGUGGCGAAGGCGGCCCCCUGGACAAAGACUGACGCUCAUGCACGAAAGCGUGGGGAGCAAACAGGAUUAGAUACCCUGGUAGUCCACGCCGUAAACGAUGUCUACUCGAAGUUUGGUGUCUUGAACACUGGGCUCUCAAGCUAACGCAUUAAGUAGACCGCCUGGGGAGUACGGCCGCAAGGUUA
This 370-nucleotide ribosomal RNA is filed under the name uncultured bacterium. Its description in RNAcentral is "bacterial SSU rRNA". It matches the Rfam family "Bacterial small subunit ribosomal RNA", at positions 527 to 896 of the family's 1533-position model. The record is from RNAcentral.